RNAcentral lists this ribosomal RNA (429 nucleotides) under Actinomycetes bacterium. Its description in RNAcentral is "Actinobacteria bacterium partial 16S ribosomal RNA". It matches the Rfam family "Bacterial small subunit ribosomal RNA", at positions 355 to 776 of the family's 1533-position model. The record is from RNAcentral. Lineage: Bacteria; Bacillati; Actinomycetota; Actinomycetes.
UAGGGAAUCUUCCGCAAUGGGCGAAAGCCUGCCGGAGCAACGCCGCGUGAGUGAUGAAGGUCUUCGGAUCGUAAAACUCUGUUAUUAGGGAAGAACAAAUGUGUAAGUAACUAUGCACGUCUUGACGGUACCUAAUCAGAAAGCCACGGCUAACUACGUGCCAGCAGCCGCGGUAAUACGUAGGUGGCAAGCGUUAUCCGGAAUUAUUGGGCGUAAAGCGCGCGUAGGCGGUUUUUUAAGUCUGAUGUGAAAGCCCACGGCUCAACCGUGGAGGGUCAUUGGAAACUGGAGAACUUGAGUGCAGAAGAGGAAAGUGGAAUUCCAUGUGUAGCGGUGAAAUGCGCAGAGAUAUGGAGGAACACCAGUGGCGAAGGCGACUUUCUGGUCUGUAACUGACGCUGAUGUGCGAAAGCGUGGGGAUCAAACAGG